AUCCGGAAGUCCCCGAUUUCACACUGCCAAGAAAAGCCUCUAGCGAGGGAAGAGGUGCCCGUACCGCAAACCGACACAGGUAGGCGAGGAGAGAAUCCUAAGGCGCGCGGGAGAACUCUCGUUAAGGAACUCGGCAAAAUGACCCCGUAACUUCGGGAGAAGGGGUGCUCGUUUGGGUGAAGAGCCCGAACGAGCCGCAGUGAAAAGGCCCAAGCGACUGUUUAUCAAAAACACAGGUCUCUGCGAAGCCGAAAGGCGACGUAUAGGGGCUGACACCUGCCCGGUGCUGGAAGGUUAAGGGGAGCGCUUAGCGGAAGCGAAGGUGCGAACCGAAGCCCCAGUAAACGGCGGCCGUAACUAUAACGGUCCUAAGGUAGCGAAAUUCCUUGUCGGGUAAGUUCCGACCCGCACGAAAGGUGUAACGACUUGGGCGCUGUCUCAACGAGAGACCCGGUGAAAUUAUACUACCUGUGAAGAUGCAGGUUACCCGCGACAGGACGGAAAGACCCCGUGGAGCUUUACUGCAGCCUGAUAUGGAAUUUUGGUAUCGCUUGUACAGGAUAGGUGGGAGCCU
Molecule: ribosomal RNA, 574 nt
Filed under: Geobacillus stearothermophilus
Lineage: Bacteria; Bacillati; Bacillota; Bacilli; Caryophanales; Anoxybacillaceae
Description: bacterial LSU rRNA
Rfam family: Bacterial large subunit ribosomal RNA
Source: RNAcentral